Molecule: long non-coding RNA, 488 nt
Organism: Homarus americanus (American lobster)
Lineage: Eukaryota; Metazoa; Arthropoda; Malacostraca; Decapoda; Nephropidae
Exons: 2
Source: RefSeq, a predicted model, not a curated record
GCAUAAUGUUAGUGGUACUAACUGGCUCAUUGGUUCUCUUCCAGAAGAUAGCCAAAAGGUAGACAGCACAUAUAGGUGGGGCAAGGAAGGAUGAAAUACUCUGGAUGUAGUCAAACAGCUAGACGAAGACCAAGACGACGACAAACACACGGCCCACUAUGAGCAGCUCCGCAUCUGAGGGCUUGGCAUCUAUGCCCAUCCUUCUUGAUAUUUUCUUCCUGACCAACAUCCACACGUCGAUGGUGAAGAUGGUAGAUGCUGAAUUGAAGAUGGAGGUGAGGGAUGACAUGAGGGCUGCCAUCAUUACUGCCAACAUUAAACCUGACAGACCUGAAGAGAGAAUAUUGGUGAAGUGAGAAUGACAAUGGUGAGGCUAAAUUGAUGAUAAAAGUGGGCACAGCACAAACAGCCAAUAUUGUCAUCAGCAUCCUACGAGACAUAACUGGAAAUUAUAAGAAGUACUGUACAAUAAAAUCUCAUAACUUGGA